Long non-coding RNA from Musa acuminata AAA Group (dessert banana), 485 nucleotides. RefSeq lists it as uncharacterized. Lineage: Eukaryota; Viridiplantae; Streptophyta; Magnoliopsida; Zingiberales; Musaceae. The record is from RefSeq and is a predicted model, not a curated record. The transcript has 2 exons.
GACGCCACAAAAAGUUCUUCGUCGACGGAGCGGGAGAUCUCGAUUCCUGAUCUCGGCGUGGAGAUGAAGAAGGCUGGGGUCUUCGCCGCCUCCCUCGCGGCCGUCUCUUCCGCUGCUCUCUCCACCACCAACCCCUCCUCCUCCACCUCCACCUCCUCCUCCUCUAAAGAGGGAUUGGGAUCGUCGAGGAAGCAGGACGCUGCCGGAUCAGGAUCAAGGAGGGACGCGGAAGACAAGUUCGCGCCGAGAUUCGACGGGCUUAGGUUCAUCGAGACGCUGGUAACGGCGCAUCGGUGAUUCUCGAGUCUCUUGCCGAUGCUUCACCCUCUUAUCACCGAUCGAUUUCUGCCAAGGCGGUGGUCCUCUUCCUGAUAUAAUUAUGAUUUAGUAUUGGUAGUCUGCAAGCUCUGUUACGCACGAGCCGUGUGUGAUUUUAACUUCUUGUAUAUUAAUUAAUUAAUUAAUUAUUCUUGUAUUUCGAUUAA